CGCAAGUUAUAAAGCUGUUGGUACAAUAAUGAUAUCAAAUCUUUGAGCGCAUAUCCAGUGCACAAUACAUCACACACAUUAUCCUAAAUUUAUUUUUCUCCAUCAAUUAGUUGAAAAGAGCACAGAGGAGAGAUAGGGUUCAAUAUUAAACUCAACAAAAAAAAUAUAAAGUUACAAGGGGCACUUAAAGAAUUCAUCUGGCCAAAACCAGAGAGUUCAAUAACUAAAGAGACAGGAUAAAUAUGGUACUUUUCUCCACACCAAGUUUUAUGAGUUUCAAACUCUUUUCCACAUUGACAAGUUUUAUUGAGCACACAAUCAUACGAAAAAUUACUACUUAGGACCAAUGUCCUUCAGAGCACAUAUCUGCUCUUCACCCAUCGCAGACAUGACAGAAACCACGAGAUCUUUUCCAUCAGCAAAUCCAUCUUUAAUCUAUGAAUGUAUCCAAUAAAUCAAAUUAAAAGAGACAAACUAUAUAUGUGGCAUAAAUUCAUAACUAAAUUUACAAAACCCAAUACCUGAGUAAGUAGUGAAUCAUCAGUAGGAAGCUUCAAAUCAUCCUUGGUACUUCCAUUGUCAGUCAACAAACUCACCUAAACAAAACAUCCAUGUAGGUUAAUAAAUGAUCCACUGAAUGACAAUAGCAAUAAUUUGUCCCUAUUUCUUGUUGUGCACUUGUUUGUCUUCACAUUGGAGUCAGAAUUCUUCAUUAUUUAUCUUUUCAAAUCAACAAUUUUAUAUUUAUUCAACAUGAGAAAAAUAUAGUUUAGAAAAUGAACCCUAUGUCAUCUUAUUUUACUUAUGAGCUAAUAAAAACUUGAAUUGAAUGCAAAAUAGAGUUUACAGCUAUGAAGCACGGACACGUGUCGUGUCCGACACCGACACUUAUAAUUACACUGAAUUAUGUGAUUUUUUCAAAUUAUUAGUUGUGUCAGCGUCCGUGUCCGGUGUCUGUAUCCGUGUUUUAUAGGUUUACAGUAAAAGUCAAAAGAAAAAUGUUAUAGUCAUUCCUUGGUAGAAUUUAAUGUGAAAUAUUUGACUUUCUUCAUGUCAGGAAAACAUGGUAGAAAACAAUUGUUAUCUUUGAAAGCAACCUAACAUAAAACAUAAUGUAGAAGUCAAGAGAAAAAUAUUAUAGUCAUUCCUUUGGUAGAAUUUACUGUGAAAUAGUUGACUUUCUUCAUGUUACGAAAACAAGGCAGAAAACAAUUGUUAUCUUCGAAAGCAACCUUACAUAAAACAUACUCUCAGUUUUUAGGACAUGUUUAGUGCCCUCAUCCCUCAACAGACAUAAAGAUAACAACACCCUCAUGUAACUCAUCUAUAUAACCUAAUUCUCAUUUUAUAUAUCCAUUUGAAAGUGUCAACUUAAUUUCCCACCUACUAAAGUUGUCACAAGUAAAAGAAAAAAACUUACAAAUCCAUCUUCAGAGAUAUCAAUCAACUGAUAAUCAGUACGAUUCACAUGAGGAACCUGCAAAGAGAGCAAAGAUGAUUAAAAAAUGCAUAAAACAAAAAUCUAAAAAACAUAAAUGAAGAAAUGGCCGACUUACAUCACAAUUGUGGGACGAAGGAACAAUAUCUUCAAGUUUUUUCCCAUUGAAGAUAUCAAUAGCAACAAAGUGACACUUUGCAUGUCCAUGCUUUCCUGUUUUUGAAGUAGAAACCUCAACAACCUACCAAGAUGUAUUGAGAAACAAAUAUGGCACCCAAAAGACAAGUUAGCCCAAUUGAAAAUGAAAAUCAUAAAAACAAAGAAAUAUUACAGCAAAACUAAAAUUCCAAUGUCCCUGUAGUCAAGGAAUAUAGGUUUCAGCACAAUUGAUAAUUCCAGUUGUAUUAUGUUUUUAAAUUAAACCUAACUCAUCCUAACGAUGUCGACUAGGUGUCCGUCUUUAAAAAUUGUUUCAAAACCUAGGGCCUGUUUGGAUUGACUUAUUUGAGCUUAACUAUAUACAGGAGCAUUUGCGAAAUUGUUUGAAAGAACUUGUGAAAACGGUUAAUGAGAUAGCUAUAAGUUAUUUUCUGCUUAUUUUCAUAAGCUCUCUUAAAAAGAGUAUAGAAAAAAACUAAUAAACUUUAUUUUAUAAAAAGUUCAUACAUAAGUGCUUAUGCUAUAUAAGCUGUAAAUUAAGUUAAUCUCUUUUCAACAUGGAACUUAAUUAUUAUUUUUUUUCACAAUUAUUUAUUGCAACCAAUGUUAGAUCUAGAUGUAAAAUAGCACCAUAUGUCUAUGUCUCCGUUCAAAACAAUCAAAUCAAAACAACGAAAUCAUGUUCCAAUUUAUAUUCGAUUCAAACAUCCCCAGUUACCAAUAUAAACGGAAGCAUGUUAAUUAAUACAAAUCGUAAUCAUAGAAUAGCAUAAAUCAAAAUCAGAGUGAGAUCGAAUAAGGAAUUAAAAAAAAAAAAAAAAAAAAAAAAAAAUCUAGAAGGGGAAAGGGAAAAGGAGAAAACCUUGCAAGGCCUGGACUUGAUGACGAUGUAACCAUUCUUGCGAAUAGUACCGGCCUGUUGAGGAUAGGUUUUGGAUGCUCCGGCAUCGGCAGCGGGUUCAAAGUGAUGUUCUUCGUCAGACAUGGUGUUGAUUGAUGCUUUCUCUGCGCGCGUGGGUAAUGUGUUAUGUGUGAGGAGAAAGAUGAGU
Molecule: long non-coding RNA, 2646 nt
Filed under: Medicago truncatula (barrel medic)
Lineage: Eukaryota; Viridiplantae; Streptophyta; Magnoliopsida; Fabales; Fabaceae
Description: lncRNA gene27768
Source: RNAcentral